AAUGGGUCAGCGACUUAUAUUCUGUAGCAAGGUUAACCGAAUAGGGGAGCCGAAGGGAAACCGAGUCUUAACUGGGCGUUAAGUUGCAGGGUAUAGACCCGAAACCCGGUGAUCUAGCCAUGGGCAGGUUGAAGGUUGGGUAACACUAACUGGAGGACCGAACCGACUAAUGUUGAAAAAUUAGCGGAUGACUUGUGGCUGGGGGUGAAAGGCCAAUCAAACCGGGAGAUAGCUGGUUCUCCCCGAAAGCUAUUUAGGUAGCGCCUCGUGAAUUCAUCUCCGGGGGUAGAGCACUGUUUCGGCAAGGGGGUCAUCCCGACUUACCAACCCGAUGCAAACUGCGAAUACCGGAGAAUGUUAUCACGGGAGACACACGGCGGGUGCUAACGUCCGUCGUGAAGAGGGAAACAACCCAGACCGCCAGCUAAGGUCCCAAAGUCAUGGUUAAGUGGGAAACGAUGUGGGAAGGCCCAGACAGCCAGGAUGUUGGCUUAGAAGCAGCCAUCAUUUAAAGAAAGCGUAAUAGCUCACUGGUCGAGUCGGCCUGCGCGGAAGAUGUAACGGGGCUAAACCAUGCACCGAAGCUGCGGCAGCGACGCUUAUGCGUUGUUGGGUAGGGGAGCGUUCUGUAAGCCUGUGAAGGUGUGCUGUGAGGCAUGCUGGAGGUAUCAGAAGUGCGAAUGCUGACAU
This 690-nucleotide ribosomal RNA is filed under the name Escherichia coli. RNAcentral's name for it is "partial 23S ribosomal RNA". It matches the Rfam family "Bacterial large subunit ribosomal RNA", at positions 614 to 1303 of the family's 2925-position model. Lineage: Bacteria; Pseudomonadati; Pseudomonadota; Gammaproteobacteria; Enterobacterales; Enterobacteriaceae. The record is from RNAcentral.